Molecule: ribosomal RNA, 492 nt
Filed under: uncultured bacterium
Lineage: Bacteria
Description: partial 16S ribosomal RNA
Rfam family: Bacterial small subunit ribosomal RNA
Source: RNAcentral
AGUGAACGCUGGCGGUAGGCCUAACACAUGCAAGUCGAACGGCAGCACAGUAAGAGCUUGCUCUUACGGGUGGCGAGUGGCGGACGGGUGAGGAAUACAUCGGAAUCUACUUUUUCGUGGGGAAUAACGUAGGGAAACUUACGCUAAUACCGCAUACGACCUACGGGUGAAAGCAGGGGAUCUUCGGACCUUGCGCGAUUGAAUGAGCCGAUGUCGGAUUAGCUAGUUGGCGGGGUAAAGGCCCACCGAGGCGACGAUCCGUAGCUGGUCUGAGAGGAUGAUCAGCCACACUGGAACUGAGACACGGUCCAGACUCCUACGGGAGGCAGCAGUGGGGAAUAUUGGACAAUGGGCGCAAGCCUGAUCCAGCCAUACCGCGUGGGUGAAGAAGGCCUUCGGGUUGUAAAGCCCUUUUGUUGGGAAAGAAAAGCAGCAGGUUAAUACCCCGCUGUUCUGACGGUACCCAAAGAAUAAGCACCGGCUAACUUCGUG